This 390-nucleotide long non-coding RNA is filed under the name Serinus canaria (Common canary). RNAcentral's name for it is "lncRNA (ENSSCAG00000005943.1)". The record is from RNAcentral. Lineage: Eukaryota; Metazoa; Chordata; Aves; Passeriformes; Fringillidae.
UUUUGAGUAUAAUUUGUCUGUAGUCUGUGUAAGUAGGUUUUCCCUCUUUUCCAGAUUCUUUGUGGGCAAAUAGGAGAAGGAUUUAUUCCUUUAACACAAGCAGCAUAAAAAGCAUUUGGUGGAACCCUGACAACUGAUAUCCCCGACAGUCCCAAUAUGGCCUUACUCAAACCAGAGGUUUUGGAUUCUGCUCUGAAAUUCCACAGGUGUGGAACUUGCCCUUGUCCUGUCAGUCAGAGCUUUACAAAAGCAUGGUGCUUGCACCUUACAUUUCAGCGAGACAAGCUCAGAAUGGAUCUGCUGACCAAACAUUUAUGCCCAAGUAUGAAAAGCUACAAGAGGAAAUAGACAACCAGAAAUAUCACCUGCAAAUCCCUGACAUGCUGGGAG